This is a long non-coding RNA of Nymphalis io (European peacock), 632 nucleotides long. RefSeq lists it as uncharacterized. The transcript has 3 exons. The record is from RefSeq and is a predicted model, not a curated record. Lineage: Eukaryota; Metazoa; Arthropoda; Insecta; Lepidoptera; Nymphalidae.
UUUACAGUCAUGUAUCACGUAGUGCUUAAAACCAGCUGUUAAUCAAUGAACUAAUCGUGACAUAGUUAUUACAUGAUCCGUAUAAUUAAUGGUAUGCCAUCCUACGGCGCUGUUCAAUGAUAUAUAUAAGUCGGAACAUAGUGACUUCUCAGAAGUAUUAGUUUUAAUUUCGACUGGAGGAGCACUUCGAAUUAAAGAAAAAUGUUAAAAUUAUUCCCCCUACUAUUCAUCGUCGCAACCGCGAUGGCAGUCGACUCCGAAAAUAUUCGCCGAGCUCGCUCUCCAGGUGGCGGUGGUUGGCAAGGAAGUAGUAGCUUCGCUCCGCAAUCUGGUGGACAGACCCGAUCUUCUGGCAGCUGGAAUAGUGCAUCUGGUUUUGGUCGCUCUAUAGGACGUUGGGGAAAUUCUGAGAGACACGGUGCGAGAUCAUCGAGUUACAAAUCUAACGGAUUCAAUUCCAACGACGUCUCAGGCAGAUCUAGUUUCGGUUCAGAAAAUGUUCGUAAUUAUAAUACUUGGGAUGAUUCUGGAGUUGAUUAUCACUCAACCUGGUGAAGUUAUGAAUAACUUGUAUCGAGACGAGACCGAAUUAUAAAUGUUUCAAUGAUAAUGUAAAGAUAAACAAUAAAAUU